RNAcentral lists this ribosomal RNA (253 nucleotides) under uncultured bacterium. RNAcentral describes it as "partial 16S ribosomal RNA". It matches the Rfam family "Bacterial small subunit ribosomal RNA", at positions 524 to 776 of the family's 1533-position model. The record is from RNAcentral.
UACGUAGGUGACAAGCGUUGUCCGGAUUUACUGGGCGUAAAGAGCGCGCAGGCGGUCGUUCAAGUCGAGUGUGAAAGCCCCCGGCUCAACUGGGGAGGGUCAUUCGAUACUGAUCGACUCGAAGGCAGGAGAGGGAAGUAGAAUUCCCGGUGUAGUGGUGAAAUGCGUAGAUAUCGGGAGGAACACCAGUGGCGAAGGCGACUUCCUGGCCUGUUCUUGACGCUGAGGCGCGAAAGCUAGGGGAGCAAACGGG